ACAACUAUCAUCCUGAAGGGUGGAAUGAACAGGUAACGCUGUGAAACGCUCUCCCUGAUACUCCGACUGGCGUAUGUGCGAAAGCAUGUGGGUCAGUAGCUCGGUGAAGUCGGCUGUAUGCACUCGCUAUAUCGCAGUCAACAUUGAAACAACGAUAUGGCAAAAGCAAGCCAGAGGUGGCUGCGAGUGUCAGGCCGGGGGUCUAUAAA
RNAcentral lists this non-coding RNA (209 nucleotides) under chicken gut metagenome. The record is from RNAcentral.